UCAGAAACCAGUGGCGAAGGAGACCAACGAAG
This 32-nucleotide small RNA is filed under the name Bombyx mori (domestic silkworm). Its description in RNAcentral is "ovarian small RNA-25517". The record is from RNAcentral. Lineage: Eukaryota; Metazoa; Arthropoda; Insecta; Lepidoptera; Bombycidae.